UUUUUAUAUAAAAGUUAUUUUAUAAUUGUUAUAAUUAUAUAAGAAAUUAUAUGUGUUUGUAUAGUAAUUUUUUUAUUUUAUUUUGAGGAAAUUAGAGUGUUUUAAGCAUGAUUUUUCAAUUGAAUAAUGGAGUAUGGAAUAUUAAAAAUGUAAUAAAAUUUAUUUAUAUGUUGGUUUUAAAGUGUUAAUUAAUAAUUUCUAAGAAUAGUUGGGGGUAUUUGUAUUUAACAGCAAGAGGUGAAAUUCUUAGAUUUGUUGAAGAUAAAUUAUUGUGAAAGCAUUUAUUAAAAAUAUUUUUUUUAAUUAAGAACAAAAGUUAGGGGAUCGAAGACGAUCAGAUACCGUCGUAGUCUUAAUUAUAAACUAUGCUGAUUAGAGAUUAGAUGUUUUUAAAUAAAUGAUUUGUUUAGUAUUUUUAGAGAAAUCGAAGUUUUUAAGUUUUGGGGGGAGUAUGGUUGCAAGAUUGAAACUUAAAGGAAUUGACGGAAAGGCACCACCAGAAGUGGAGUUUGCGGUUUAAUUUGACUCAACACAAGAAAUUUUAUUAGGUCUAGACAUAUGAAGGAUUGACAGAUUAAUAGUUUUUUUUUGAUUUUAUGGGUGGUA
Molecule: ribosomal RNA, 606 nt
Filed under: Aggregata octopiana
Lineage: Eukaryota; Apicomplexa; Marosporida; Aggregatidae
Description: partial 18S ribosomal RNA
Rfam family: Eukaryotic small subunit ribosomal RNA
Source: RNAcentral